AAAUGCGAUAAGUAAUGUGAAUUGCAGAAUUCAGUGAAUCAUCGAAUCUUUGAACGCACCUUGCGCUCCUUGGUAUUCCUUGGAGCAUGCCUGUUUGAGUAUCAUGAAAUCUUCAAAGUAGAUCUUUUGUUAACUCAAUUGGUUUCUACUUUGGUAUUGGAGGUCUUUGCAGCUUCACACCUGCUCCUCUUUGUUCAUUAGCUGGAUCUCAGUGUUAUGCUUGGUUCCACUCGGCGUGAUAAGUUAUCUAUCGCUGAGGACACUGUAAAAGGUGGCCAAGGUAAAUGCAGAUGAACCGCUUCUAAUAGUCCAUUGACUUGGACAAUACUUUUAUGAUCUGAUCUCAAAUCAGGUAGGACUACCCGCUGAACUUAAGC
This 377-nucleotide unclassified non-coding RNA is filed under the name plant metagenome. RNAcentral's name for it is "partial contains 5.8S ribosomal RNA, internal transcribed spacer 2, and large subunit ribosomal RNA". The stretch from base 1 to 104 matches the Rfam family "5.8S ribosomal RNA", at positions 51 to 154 of the family's 154-position model. The record is from RNAcentral.